RNAcentral lists this ribosomal RNA (253 nucleotides) under uncultured prokaryote. Its description in RNAcentral is "partial 16S ribosomal RNA". It matches the Rfam family "Bacterial small subunit ribosomal RNA", at positions 524 to 776 of the family's 1533-position model. The record is from RNAcentral.
UACGGAGGGAGCUAGCGUUGUUCGGAAUUACUGGGCGUAAAGCGCACGUAGGCGGCUUUGUAAGUUAGAGGUGAAAGCCCGGAGCUCAACUCCGGAAUUGCCUUUAAGACUGCAUCGCUUGAAUCCAGGAGAGGUGAGUGGAAUUCCGAGUGUAGAGGUGAAAUGCGUAGAGAUGUGGAGGAACACCGAUGGCGAAGGCAGCCUCCUGGGCCAACACUGACGCUCAUGCACGAAAGCGUGGGGAGCAAACAGG